CCUACGGGAGGCAGCAGUGAGGAAUAUUGGUCAAUGGCCGCAGGGCUGAACCAGCCAAGUCGCGUGAGGGAUGACGGUCCUAUGGAUUGUAAACCUCUUUUGUCAGGGAGCAAAGGGCGCCACGUGUGGCGCUUUGCGAGUACCUGAAGAAAAAGCAUCGGCAAACUCCGUGCCAGCAGCCGCGGUAAUACGGAGGAUGCGAGCGUUAUCCGGAUUUAUUGGGUUUAAGGGGUGCGCAGGCGGAAUGUCAAGUCAGCGGUAAAAUUUCGGGGCUCAACCCCGUCGUGCCGUUGAAACUGGCGUUCUUGAGUGAGCGAGAGGUAUGCGGAAUGCGUGGUGUAGCGGUGAAAUGCGUAGAUAUCACGAAGAACUCCGAUGGCGAAGGCAGCAUACCGGCGCUCAACUGACGCUCAUGCACGAAAGCGUGGGUAUCGAACAGGAUUAGAUACCCUGGUAGUC
RNAcentral lists this ribosomal RNA (459 nucleotides) under uncultured bacterium. Its description in RNAcentral is "partial 16S ribosomal RNA". It matches the Rfam family "Bacterial small subunit ribosomal RNA", at positions 338 to 795 of the family's 1533-position model. The record is from RNAcentral.